This 380-nucleotide ribosomal RNA is filed under the name Wolbachia pipientis. Its description in RNAcentral is "bacterial SSU rRNA". It matches the Rfam family "Bacterial small subunit ribosomal RNA", at positions 1036 to 1415 of the family's 1533-position model. Lineage: Bacteria; Pseudomonadati; Pseudomonadota; Alphaproteobacteria; Rickettsiales; Anaplasmataceae. The record is from RNAcentral.
AGGUGUUGCAUGGCUGUCGUCAGCUCGUGUCGUGAGAUGUUGGGUUAAGUCCCGCAACGAGCGCAACCCUCAUCCUUAGUUACCAUCAGGUAAUGCUGGGGACUUUAAGGAAACUGCCAGUGAUAAACUGGAGGAAGGUGGGGAUGAUGUCAAGUCAUCAUGGCCCUUAUGGAGUGGGCUACACACGUGCUACAAUGGUGGCUACAAUGGGCUGCAAAGUCGCGAGGCUAAGCUAAUCCCUUAAAAGCCAUCUCAGUUCGGAUUGUACUCUGCAACUCGAGUGCAUGAAGUUGGAAUCGCUAGUAAUCGUGGAUCAGCACGCCACGGUGAAUACGUUCUCGGGUCUUGUACACACUGCCCGUCACGCCAUGGGAAUUGGU